This 260-nucleotide ribosomal RNA is filed under the name uncultured bacterium. RNAcentral's name for it is "partial small subunit ribosomal RNA". It matches the Rfam family "Bacterial small subunit ribosomal RNA", at positions 26 to 288 of the family's 1533-position model. The record is from RNAcentral.
AGGACGAACGCUGGCGGCGUGCUUAACACAUGCAAGUCGAGCGGAAAGGCCCUUCGGGGUACUCGAGCGGCGAACGGGUGAGUAACACGUGAGCAACCUGCCCCUGGCUCUGGGAUAGCCUCCGGAAACGGGGAUUAAUACCGGACAUUCACUUCCUUCCGCAUGGUUGGUGGUGGAAAGUUUUUUCGGCCGGGGAGGGGCUCGCGGCCUAUCAGCUUGUUGGCGGGGUAACGGCCCACCGAAGGCGACGACGGGUAGCC